GAGACAAGAUAUUGCUUUCUUUGAUAAAGAAACAAAUACGGGAGAGGUUGUUGGUAGAAUGUCUGGUGAUACUGUUCUUAUACAAGAUGCAAUGGGUGAAAAGGUUGGAAAAUUUCUGCAGCUGAUGGCAACAUUCAUUGGGGGUUUUGUAAUAGCAUUUGUCAAAGGGUGGAUGCUUGCCCUUGUCAUGUUAUCUGCUAUUCCCCUGCUAGUUCUAGCUGGUGCAACUGUGUCCAUUUUGAUAUCCAGGAUGGCAACUCGUGGACAAAAUGCUUAUGCAGAAGCAGCUACUGUAGUAGAACAGACAAUUGGCUCAAUUAGAACUGUUGCA
Molecule: unclassified non-coding RNA, 331 nt
Filed under: Hevea brasiliensis (rubber tree)
Lineage: Eukaryota; Viridiplantae; Streptophyta; Magnoliopsida; Malpighiales; Euphorbiaceae
Source: RNAcentral